This is a non-coding RNA of Pimephales promelas (fathead minnow), 789 nucleotides long. NCBI's taxonomy places the organism in Eukaryota, Metazoa, Chordata, Actinopteri, Cypriniformes, Leuciscidae. The record is from RefSeq and is a predicted model, not a curated record.
AGGCGGCGUAAUCGAGGUUCAGGUUCAUUCUGUCAGCAGCAGCUUCAGAUGAUUGACAACAUGGUGCUUGAUAUUGAUAACAGUCAAAGCCACAACAUGUGCAGUUUGUUUUAAUAAAGCUGCACAUUCUGUAGAUGACAGCUCAGUGACAGACUCAUAAUGUCACUUAACAGCACACAUUUCAAGCCAUAAACAGAGAAAACAGACAAACCUUGUGACGAAGAGCAGGAAUCAAAGAUGUCACACGACUCAGCCUAAAGAAUGUGUUUGGACCGUUACAUCCAGUCAACAGAAGCCGAGCUCUGGGCCGUUUGGACGGACAUUCACCGUAGGAUGGACAUCAGCUCAGUCACAGUCAAAAGCAUAACCCCCUGCUGGACAUCGUGCGGGAGCUCAGGGGUGGACCCCAUGAUCCCCCACACCUUCUCACUCGCACCACAGCAUUCACUCAUAUCACAUAUCUCAUAUCAUAGCGGAGAUCUGGCUGGACUCGAACCAGCAACCUCUGAAACCGUGAGGCAACGCUCUUACCUGUGAGCCACAGAUCUCUUGUCUGAACAUGUGAAGGAACUUAUAUUUCACUAUGUAUGUGAGCUGGGAUUUUACAAUAAACCAGUUAAAUGACACAUCUCUAACUCACUGAGCUAUGGGGUUUGAACCCAUGACUCUGCCUCAACCUUGUCUCCCAGUGACGUGUGUUUAACCACUACACCACCGUGGCUUUCACACUGAGAGCUGCCGUUUGAGGCAGUUUGUUGGAUAUAAUGCAAUAAAUGGUCUUUCGGGGAC